AUUGAACGCUAGCGGCAUGCCUUACACAUGCAAGUCGAACGGCAGCACGGGGGCAACCCUGGUGGCGAGUGGCGGACGGGUGAGUAAGGCAUCGGAAUCUGCCCUGAUGUGGGGGGAUAACGUAGGGAAACUUACGCUAAUACCGCAUACGACCGAGAGGUGAAAGCGAGGGACCGAAAGGCCUCGCGCAGCAGGAUGAGCCGAUGUCCGAUUAGCUAGUUGGUGAGGUAAAGGCUUACCCAAGGCGACGAUCCGUAGCUGGUCUGAGAGGACGACCAGCCACACUGGGACUGAGACACGGCCCAGACUCCUACGGGAGGCAGCAGUGGGGAAUCUUGGACAAUGGGCGAAAGCCUGAUCCAGCAAUGCCGCGUGUGUGAAGAAGGUCUUCGGAUUGUAAAGCACUUUUGGCAGGGACGAUGAUGACGGUACCUGCAGAAUAAGCCCCGGCUAACUUCGUG
Molecule: ribosomal RNA, 461 nt
Filed under: uncultured bacterium
Lineage: Bacteria
Description: bacterial SSU rRNA
Rfam family: Bacterial small subunit ribosomal RNA
Source: RNAcentral